CGGGAUUUGUUUCAGCCGCCGCGGUAAUGCGUAGGGUGCAAGCGUUAAUCGGAAUUACUGGGCGUAAAGCGUGCGCAGGCGGUUAUGCAAGACAGAGGUGAAAUCCCCGGGCUCAACCUGGGAACUGCCUUUGUGACUGCAUGGCUAGAGUACGGUAGAGGGGGAUGGAAUUCCGCGUGUAGCAGUGAAAUGCGUAGAUAUGCGGAGGAACACCGAUGGCGAAGGCAAUCCCCUGGACCUGUACUGACGCUCAUGCACGAAAGCGUGGGAAGCAAACAGGAUUAGAUACCCUGGUAGUCCACGCCCUAAACGAUGUCAACUGGUUGUUGGGAGGGUUUCUUCUCAGUAACGUAGCUAACGCGUGAAGUUGACCGCCUGGGGAGUACGGCCGCAAGGUUGAAACUCAAAGGAAUUGACGGGGACCCGCACAAGCGGUGGAUGAUGUGGUUUAAUUCGAUGCAACGCGAAAAACCUUACCUACCCUUGACAUGCCAGGAAUCCUGAAGAGAUUUGGGAGUGCUCGAAAGAGAGCCUGGACACAGGUGCUGCAUGGCCGUCGUCAGCUCGUGUCGUGAGAUGUUGGGUUAAGUCCCGCAACGAGCGCAACCCUUGUCAUUAGUUGCUACGAAAGGGCACUCUAAUGAGACUGCCGGUGACAAACCGGAGGAAGGUGGGGAUGACGUCAGGUCAUCAUGGCCCUUAUGGGUAGGGCUACACACGUCAUACAAUGGCCGGGACAGAGGGCUGCCAACCCGCGAGGGGGAGCUAAUCCCAGAAACCCGGUCGUAGUCCGGAUCGUAGUCUGCAACUCGACUGCGUGAAGUCGGAAUCGCUAGUAAUCGCGGAUCAGCUUGCCGCGGUGAAUACGUUCCCGGGUCUUGUACACACCGCCCGUCAAAC
Molecule: ribosomal RNA, 900 nt
Filed under: uncultured bacterium
Lineage: Bacteria
Description: bacterial SSU rRNA
Rfam family: Bacterial small subunit ribosomal RNA
Source: RNAcentral